Molecule: ribosomal RNA, 480 nt
Filed under: uncultured bacterium
Lineage: Bacteria
Description: partial 16S ribosomal RNA
Rfam family: Bacterial small subunit ribosomal RNA
Source: RNAcentral
GACGAACGCUGGCGGCGUGCUUAACACAUGCAAGUCGAACGAUGAAGAAAAGAAUCGAAGCUUCGGCAGAAAUUCAUUUCGGAUUAGUGGCAGACGGGUGAGUAACGCGUGAGCAACCUACCUCUUACAAAGGGAUAGCCUCGGGAAACCGGGAUUAAUACCAUAUAACAUUGUGACGAAGCAUUUCGAUGCAAUCAAAGCUACGGCGGUAAGAGAUGGGCUCGCGUCCCAUUAACCGGAUGGUGAGGUAACGGCUCACCAUAGUGACGAUGGGUAACCGGACUGAGAGGGUGAACGGUCACACUGGAACUGAGACACGGUCCAGACUCCUACGGGAGGCAGCAGUGGGGAAUAUUGCACAAUGGAGGGAACUCUGAUGCAGCGACGCCGCGUGAGUGAUGAAGGAAUUCGUUUCGUAAAACUCUGUUCUAUGGGAAGAAAAGGACUGUACCAUAGGAGAAAGCUCCGGCUAAAUACGUG